Halichondria panicea is the source of this 647-nucleotide long non-coding RNA. RefSeq lists it as uncharacterized. NCBI's taxonomy places the organism in Eukaryota, Metazoa, Porifera, Demospongiae, Suberitida, Halichondriidae. The transcript has 2 exons. The record is from RefSeq and is a predicted model, not a curated record.
GUUAGUGAUGUACACUCAAUAGCCUCAGGGUCUGGACUCCACAUCAGUGUACCCUCACAUGUCACUAUAUAUACACUGUUAAAAAUGGGUAGUUACAAUAGCACCCAAAGUGCUAUGCCAACACUCACCUAAUGGUGCUAUCACAACACUAAGAGUGCAGUCGUAACUGCUACGUGUUACUAGAACAAUAAAGGGUGCUAUUAUACACUUAAAAGUGCUUGUGGAACAUUUUAAACAGUGUUGUGCAUGCACUUACCUAGUUGUUAAAAUCAUAUUACUCUAACUAUACACCAGAUGGUGUUACUCAAAUAAGAAUUGUGUGAUUGUAGCACUAUACAUGGUGCAAUGUAAGCACCUCUACAAAUCACCUGCAUGCAAAUCAAGGGGUGAAGCAGCACACUUGUACUGAUGACGGAACAAUCGGCCCUGUGAGGAACUUUCCAAGAAAAAAUUAGUGCACUUUUCAAGUGUACCGGCAAUAUUUUAGCUAUUCAGUAUUUAUAACUUAUGUGAUGAACCAGUACUAGUUAUCAUUAUUAGUUACUGUAACUAUGUGUUUGAAGUUGCAACAUCUAUUGAGGACUAGACUAUGUGCAUGUCACGCUAACGGACAAAUUAAUGCCCAACAAUAAUUAUUAACAAUUCAA